RNAcentral lists this ribosomal RNA (497 nucleotides) under uncultured bacterium. Its description in RNAcentral is "partial 16S ribosomal RNA". It matches the Rfam family "Bacterial small subunit ribosomal RNA", at positions 28 to 507 of the family's 1533-position model. The record is from RNAcentral.
GAUGAACGCUGGCGGCGUGCCUAAUACAUGCAAGUCGAGCGAACGGACGAGAAGCUUGCUUCUCUGAUGUUAGCGGCGGACGGGUGAGUAACACGUGGAUAACCUACCUAUAAGACUGGGAUAACUUCGGGAAACCGGAGCUAAUACCGGAUGAUAUUUUGAACCGCAUGGUUCAAAAGUGAAAGACGGUCUUGCUGUCACUUAUAGAUGGAUCCGCGCUGCAUUAGCUAGUUGGUAAGGUAACGGCUUACCAAGGCAACGAUGCAUAGCCGACCUGAGAGGGUGAUAGGCCACACUGGAACUGGGACACGGUCCAGACUCCUACGGGAGGCAGCAGUAGGGAAUCUUCCGCAAUGGGCGAAAGCCUGACGGAGCAACGCCGCGUGAGUGAUGAAGGUCUUCGGAUCGUAAAACUCUGUUAUUAGGGAAGAACAUAUGUGUAAGUAACUGUGCACAUCUUGACGGUACCUAAUCAGAAAGCCACGGCUAACUACGUG